AACGAACGCUGGCGGCAUGCCUAAUACAUGCAAGUCGAACGUGAAAGCUUCUUCGGAAGUGAUUAGAGUGGCGCACGGGUGAGUAACACGUAGGUGAUCUACCCUGUAGUGGGGAAUAACUCGGAGAAAUUCGAGCUAAUACCGCAUAAGUUCUGCAACUUUGAAAGGAGCAGAAGAAAGAUGGCCUCUGCAUAUGCUAUCGCUACUGGAUGAGCCUGCGCAGCAUUAGCUUGUUGGUGGGGUAAUGGCCUACCAAGGCUGCGAUGCUUAGCGGGUCUGAGAGGAUGAUCCGUCACACUGGAACUGAGACACGGUCCAGACUCCUACGGGAGGCAGCAGUAGGGAAUAUUGCGCAAUGGGCGAAAGCCUGACGCAGCAAUGCCGCGUGUGUGAGGAAGGCCUUCGGGUUGUAAAGCACUGUCAGAGUG
RNAcentral lists this ribosomal RNA (428 nucleotides) under uncultured bacterium. RNAcentral describes it as "bacterial SSU rRNA". It matches the Rfam family "Bacterial small subunit ribosomal RNA", at positions 29 to 443 of the family's 1533-position model. The record is from RNAcentral.